UACGUAGGGUCCGAGCGUUGUCCGGAAUUAUUGGGCGUAAAGAGCUCGUAGGCGGUUUGUCGCGUCUGCUGUGAAAUCCCGAGGCUCAACCUGGGACACCACCCGAUACUGCUCUGGCUAGAGUCCGGUAGGGGAGCGUGGAAUUCCUGGUGUAGCGGUGAAAUGCGCAGAUAUCAGGAGGAACACCAGCGGCGAAGGCGGCGCUCUGGGCCGGUACUGACACUGAGGAGCGAAAGCGUGGGUAGCAAACAGG
This 253-nucleotide ribosomal RNA is filed under the name uncultured bacterium. RNAcentral's name for it is "partial 16S ribosomal RNA". It matches the Rfam family "Bacterial small subunit ribosomal RNA", at positions 524 to 776 of the family's 1533-position model. The record is from RNAcentral.